This 2790-nucleotide ribosomal RNA is filed under the name Escherichia coli DEC12D. Its description in RNAcentral is "bacterial LSU rRNA". It matches the Rfam family "Bacterial large subunit ribosomal RNA". Lineage: Bacteria; Pseudomonadati; Pseudomonadota; Gammaproteobacteria; Enterobacterales; Enterobacteriaceae. The record is from RNAcentral.
AGCGUACACGGUGGAUGCCCUGGCAGUCAGAGGCGAUGAAGGACGUGCUAAUCUGCGAUAAGCGUCGGUAAGGUGAUAUGAACCGUUAUAACCGGCGAUUUCCGAAUGGGGAAACCCAGUGUGAUUCGUCACACUAUCAUUAACUGAAUCCAUAGGUUAAUGAGGCGAACCGGGGGAACUGAAACAUCUAAGUACCCCGAGGAAAAGAAAUCAACCGAGAUUCCCCCAGUAGCGGCGAGCGAACGGGAGCAGCCCAGAGCCUGAAUCAGUGUGUGUGUUAGUGGAAGCGUCUGGAAAGGCGCGCGAUACAGGGUGACAGCCCCGUACACAAAAAUAGCACAUGCUGUGAGCUCGAUGAGUAGGGCGGGACGACGUGGUAUCCUGUCUGAAUAUGGGGGACCGAUCCUCCAAGGCUAAAUACUCCUGACUGACCGAUAGUGAACCAGUACCGUGAGGGAAAGGCGAAAAGAACCCCGGCGAGGGGAGUGAAAAAGAACCUGAAACCGUGUACGUACAAGCAGUGGGAGCACAGAGCAAUCUGUGUGACUGCGUACCUUUUGUAUAAUGGGUCAGCGACUUAUAUUCUGUAGCAAGGUUAACCGAAUAGGGGAGCCGAAGGGAAACCGAGUCUUAACUGGGCGUUAAGUUGCAGGGUAUAGACCCGAAACCCGGUGAUCUAGCCAUGGGCAGGUUGAAGGUUGGGUAACACUAACUGGAGGACCGAACCGACUAAUGUUGAAAAAUUAGCGGAUGACUUGUGGCUGGGGGUGAAAGGCCAAUCAAACCGGGAGAUAGCUGGUUCUCCCCGAAAGCUAUUUAGGUAGCGCCUCGUGAAUUCAUCUCCGGGGGUAGAGCACUGUUUCGGCAAGGGGGUCAUCCCGACUUACCAACCCGAUGCAAACUGCGAAUACCGGAGAAUGUUAUCACGGGAGACACACGGCGGGUGCUAACGUCCGUCGUGAAGAGGGAAACAACCCAGACCGCCAGCUAAGGUCCCAAAGUCAUGGUUAAGUGGGAAACGAUGUGGGAAGGCCCAGACAGCCAGGAUGUUGGCUUAGAAGCAGCCAUCAUUUAAAGAAAGCGUAAUAGCUCACUGGUCGAGUCGGCCUGCGCGGAAGAUGUAACGGGGCUAAACCAUGCACCGAAGCUGCGGCAGCGACGCUGAUGCGUUGUUGGGUAGGGGAGCGUUCUGUAAGCCUGCGAAGGUGUGCUGUGAGGCAUGCUGGAGGUAUCAGAAGUGCGAAUGCUGACAUAAGUAACGAUAAAGCGGGUGAAAAGCCCGCUCGCCGGAAGACCAAGGGUUCCUGUCCAACGUUAAUCGGGGCAGGGUGAGUCGACCCCUAAGGCGAGGCCGAAAGGCGUAGUCGAUGGGAAACAGGUUAAUAUUCCUGUACUUGGUGUUACUGCGAAGGGGGGACGGAGAAGGCUAUGUUGGCCGGGCGACGGUUGUCCCGGUUUAAGCGUGUAGGCUGGUUUUCCAGGCAAAUCCGGAAAAUCAAGGCUGAGGCGUGAUGACGAGGCACUACGGUGCUGAAGCAACAAAUGCCCUGCUUCCAGGAAAAGCCUCUAAGCAUCAGGUAACAUCAAAUCGUACCCCAAACCGACACAGGUGGUCAGGUAGAGAAUACCAAGGCGCUUGAGAGAACUCGGGUGAAGGAACUAGGCAAAAUGGUGCCGUAACUUCGGGAGAAGGCACGCUGAUAUGUAGGUGAAGUCCCUCGCGGAUGGAGCUGAAAUCAGUCGAAGAUACCAGCUGGCUGCAACUGUUUAUUAAAAACACAGCACUGUGCAAACACGAAAGUGGACGUAUACGGUGUGACGCCUGCCCGGUGCCGGAAGGUUAAUUGAUGGGGUCAGCGCAAGCGAAGCUCUUGAUCGAAGCCCCGGUAAACGGCGGCCGUAACUAUAACGGUCCUAAGGUAGCGAAAUUCCUUGUCGGGUAAGUUCCGACCUGCACGAAUGGCGUAAUGAUGGCCAGGCUGUCUCCACCCGAGACUCAGUGAAAUUGAACUCGCUGUGAAGAUGCAGUGUACCCGCGGCAAGACGGAAAGACCCCGUGAACCUUUACUAUAGCUUGACACUGAACAUUGAGCCUUGAUGUGUAGGAUAGGUGGGAGGCUUUGAAGUGUGGACGCCAGUCUGCAUGGAGCCGGCCUUGAAAUACCACCCUUUAAUGUUUGAUGUUCUAACGUUGACCCGUAAUCCGGGUUGCGGACAGUGUCUGGUGGGUAGUUUGACUGGGGCGGUCUCCUCCUAAAGAGUAACGGAGGAGCACGAAGGUUGGCUAAUCCUGGUCGGACAUCAGGAGGUUAGUGCAAUGGCAUAAGCCAGCUUGACUGCGAGCGUGACGGCGCGAGCAGGUGCGAAAGCAGGUCAUAGUGAUCCGGUGGUUCUGAAUGGAAGGGCCAUCGCUCAACGGAUAAAAGGUACUCCGGGGAUAACAGGCUGAUACCGCCCAAGAGUUCAUAUCGACGGCGGUGUUUGGCACCUCGAUGUCGGCUCAUCACAUCCUGGGGCUGAAGUAGGUCCCAAGGGUAUGGCUGUUCGCCAUUUAAAGUGGUACGCGAGCUGGGUUUAGAACGUCGUGAGACAGUUCGGUCCCUAUCUGCCGUGGGCGCUGGAGAACUGAGGGGGGCUGCUCCUAGUACGAGAGGACCGGAGUGGACGCAUCACUGGUGUUCGGGUUGUCAUGCCAAUGGCACUGCCCGGUAGCUAAAUGCGGAAGAGAUAAGUGCUGAAAGCAUCUAAGCACGAAACUUGCCCCGAGAUGAGUUCUCCCUGACUCCUUGA